ACGAACGCUGGCGGCGUGCCUAAUACAUGCAAGUCGAGCGGAGUGAUGAAGAAGCUUGCUUCUUCUGAUUUUAGCGGCGGACGGGUGAGUAACACGUGGGCAACCUACCUUGUAGAUUGGGAUAACUCCGGGAAACCGGGGCUAAUACCGAAUAAUCCAUUUUGCUUCAUGGCGAGAUGUUAAAAGGCGGCUUCGGCUGUCACUACGAGAUGGGCCCGCGGCGCAUUAGCUAGUUGGUAGGGUAAUGGCCUACCAAGGCGACGAUGCGUAGCCGACCUGAGAGGGUGAUCGGCCACACUGGGACUGAGACACGGCCCAGACUCCUACGGGAGGCAGCAGUAGGGAAUCUUCCACAAUGGACGAAAGUCUGAUGGAGCAACGCCGCGUGAGUGAAGAAGGUUUUCGGAUCGUAAAACUCUGUUGUAAGGGAAGAACACGUACGAGAGUAACUGCUCGUACCUUGACGGUACCUUAUUAGAAAGCCACGGCUAACUACGUG
RNAcentral lists this ribosomal RNA (499 nucleotides) under uncultured bacterium. RNAcentral's name for it is "bacterial SSU rRNA". It matches the Rfam family "Bacterial small subunit ribosomal RNA", at positions 29 to 507 of the family's 1533-position model. The record is from RNAcentral.